AUCCAGAGGACACAUUGCCUCUUGUCUCACAUUGGGCAGGGGACCUGAUGCAGGACAAAGGACAAGGAUGAACUUGGCAGUUCAUGAACCAGCACUUCCAAACUGCUGUGAUUUAAAGAAGUUAAGUUUCUUUCAGCAAUAUAUUCAGUUUCAGUUCUCCACAAUGAACUGAAGAGAGGUAACACUUGAUUUCCCUUUUGACAAGAACAACAUGCUGCUGCAGAUCAGACCAUUUCUCCAAUUUGCUGUGAUCAUUUUGAUAUGAUGUCUUCCAAAGUGCUUGCAACUCAGCCUAGCUUGAUACAUCUUCUGGUUAAAGAAGUGCAGUUUCUGUUCUGUUAUUCAACUCAUUAAUGAAACUAUUGGACUAGUACUAGCCCGAAGAUAGACACCUGUAGAACCUAACCUAAAUUAUCCUUCUGGUUUGACAGUGAACCAUCGUUAACUACUCUGAGCAUGGUUUUCCAUUGAAGCUAAUGUAACAUGAAUG
Long non-coding RNA from Alligator sinensis (Chinese alligator), 490 nucleotides. RefSeq lists it as uncharacterized. NCBI's taxonomy places the organism in Eukaryota, Metazoa, Chordata, Crocodylia, Alligatoridae. The transcript has 4 exons. The record is from RefSeq and is a predicted model, not a curated record.